AUGAACGCUGACAGAAUGCUUAACACAUGCAAGUCUACUUGAAUUUGGGUCUUUGACUUAGAUUUGGGUGGCGGACGGGUGAGUAACGCGUAAAGAACUUGCCUCACAGUUAGGGACAACAUUUGGAAACGAAUGCUAAUACCUGAUAUUAUGAUUAUACGGCAUCGUAUAAUUAUGAAAGCUAUAUGCGCUGUGAGAGAGCUUUGCGUCCCAUUAGCUAGUUGGAGAGGUAACGGCUCACCAAGGCGAUGAUGGGUAGCCGGCCUGAGAGGGUGAACGGCCACAAGGGGACUGAGACACGGCCCUUACUCCUACGGGAGGCAGCAGUGGGGAAUAUUGGACAAUGGACCAAAAGUCUGAUCCAGCAAUUCUGUGUGCACGAUGACGUUUUUCGGAAUGUAAAGUGCUUUCAGUUGGGAAGAAAAAAAUGACGGUACCAACAGAAGAAGUGACGGCUAAAUACGUGCCAGCAGCCGCGGUAAUACGUAUGUCACAAGCGUUAUCCGGAUUUAUUGGGCGUAAAGCGCGUCUAGGUGGUUAUGUAAGUCUGAUGUGAAAAUGCAGGGCUCAACUCUGUAUUGCGUUAGAAACUGUGUAACUAGAGUACUGGAGAGGUAAGCGGAACUACUGUGUAGAGGUGAAAUUCGUAGAUAUUUGUAGGAAUGCCGAUGGGGAAGCCAGCUUACUGGACAGAUACUGACGCUAAAGCGCGAAAGCGUGGGUAGCAAACAGG
This 733-nucleotide ribosomal RNA is filed under the name uncultured Fusobacterium sp. RNAcentral's name for it is "bacterial SSU rRNA". It matches the Rfam family "Bacterial small subunit ribosomal RNA", at positions 29 to 776 of the family's 1533-position model. Lineage: Bacteria; Fusobacteriati; Fusobacteriota; Fusobacteriia; Fusobacteriales; Fusobacteriaceae. The record is from RNAcentral.